RNA transcript from Balaenoptera acutorostrata (minke whale), 5530 nucleotides. It is a transcript of the gene named zinc finger protein 705A-like, with no coding region annotated. The record is from RefSeq and is a predicted model, not a curated record. The transcript is spliced from 5 exons. NCBI's taxonomy places the organism in Eukaryota, Metazoa, Chordata, Mammalia, Artiodactyla, Balaenopteridae.
UUCCGGCCGACCCGGAAGCAGCUCUUCUGGCUCGAAGGCCCGUUACCUGGCUUGAGUUUCAGUAUUUCUCGUUCAAACUCGCUCUUGGAUGCCCUGAGCGCCGCGUCCUCCACACCCGGAGUCCCGGGUCCCUCGACCGCUACCGUCCCCGCCCGCGGGGAGCCCCGCCUAGUCGGGGGGAGCUCUGCUGCCGGGGCCGAACCUGAAUCUGUUCCGGGACUCUGGCCUCCUGGGAAGAAGGCCAGACUCAGGGACCAUGCCCUGCCCACCAGCCCUCCAAAGCUCCACCUACUCUGAACAAGGAGACUAGAGCACUUUCUCAGCCCCGUCUUGCUGCACUUUCUGCCAUGCUCCCCCCUACAGUGUAGAGAUCUGAUUGAAAGUACUCUCCUCCCUGCUGGGUGACUCACAGAGGAAAAUAAGAGGAAACAGUGCCCAGAAUCCAGCUAUCACACCACCCACCCACCCACAGACAUUUAAAUAACCCUCCAGAUCCUCAGUCCCCUCAGCUCACCCUAGAAGAUUCCAGUUCCUCAUCAGAGUGCGUGCAUACAGCGGGCAGAGAGCAAAACUCAAGAACCACCCUGGCACUACUUGUCUCUGUGAUGCCGAAGACAUUCUCCUUCCUGUGUGUUACAGAGAAGAUUCAAAUUUCCAGAGUUUGUAAGCUUUGGAAGAUGCUAGCUGAACAUUCUGCACUAUGGAGAUGUGUACCUGACACCUUACAGGGCAGAUGAUGAACCUGCCCAGGCUGCAGGCUCUGUGUUUCCUGGAGGUGGUGGACAUUCCCCUAGUGCCUGACGAGGGGCUCAUGAUGGCUCUCUCUGAAGUUGAUUGACUCCACAGCCUAAAACUGGUGAACUCCUUCUCAUCAGGUGGAUUCCUGCAGGCAGUAGUAGCCCAGCAUCUUCAGAAGCUCAGUAUGAGAGUGGGCUGCACAACCAAAGUAUUGUCUCAACUAGAAAGGAUGGAUUCCCUGCUAUAACUGGAACUAAAAUAUUCCUCCCACCACUGAAGACUUCGUCUCUGCUUCUGACAUUCUGUCUGUUUGCCUCAGAAUGCCAGGUUCCAAGUCCUCCGGCUCCCGGAAGUCCACCCCUCAGACCAGGGGAGGGAGGAAGCCAGGGCUCCUCUGCAGGAGGUGCUGCUCCUCUGUGUGGUCACCUCCAAUCCCAGGCAACACUCAUCCACCAAGUGGUGGAAGCGAUAGCCCAGUGUGACUCAGGCCUCCUCCUCACCGUCCUCACCUACACACCCUGCGUCAUUUCUGUCCGUCCCCUCGCUGCCGAAUGGUUAUCCCUCUGGGGUUCCAAUUUUUCAGAGGCAUUUUAAACCAUGAGAGGACAUAACUCACAUUAAACUGUGGUCAGGGAACAGACUUUUGAGCCAGAUACACGUGAGCGUGAAACAUAGUUCAACCAAUUAUAUGCUGUGUAGUUUUUGUUAAGUCACAUGAAUCCUAUCCAGGUUGGUUUCAUGAAAGGAAAAGUGACAAUAAUAAUGGCAAAUGAGGGAAUUCCCUGGCGGUCCAGUGGUUAGGACUCUGCACUCUCACUGCCGAGGGCCCAAGUUCGGAACUGAGAUCCCACAAGCCGCACGUGCCGCGGCCAGAAAAAAAGAAAAAAAAAUAAUAAUAAUGGCAAAUGAAUAAAUGGCAAGAUUAUAAGAAUACUCCUGUUACCUAAUAUGUGAUCAAUAUUGAUGACAUGUUUGGGUAGAGGGCUUCUUAGAUCUUCCAUAAGAGUUAUCCAUAGACUUUGUUGUCUGUACUUUCUGCUCAGUUUGCUUUGAACCUAAAACAACUCUAAAAAAAUAAAGCAUUUUUAGAAAAAGAAUGAAAGGAUAUCAUCUGUUUUCCUUAAUUCCAUAUAUGUGAUUUACCUAAUUAGUGAGAAAAUGUUUGAUUAAAAAGGCAUGCCUUGAUUAGAUCUACACUGACUUGGCAUCCAAAUUAAUCAGGGUGUGUCUUUUGAUUUACAUGAUGGAUGAGAGUAUCAGCUGCUUAUAAGGAGGGAUUGCCAUCAAAAGCUGAUUUAUCUAGAGAGAGAAACUCUUGAGUUCCCUUGGGUGGUGACUGCAUCCUCAAUAAAGAGUUGGCUUCUUUGGCUUUUCCAUGGGUUUGGGUAAGUAGUAGAGAGAAUUUUUAUCAGGAAAGACAGACUCCGUUAUUUCAGAAGAGUUUAUAGUCAGGAAAUGAUGGUUUACAUGAGUGCAGCCACUUGGGGGCAAGUUUCCUUACUGUGGACAUAGAGUUUCUCUGUAUUCAUAAUUCAUAUGUAAUGGUCAGAGGUGAACCUGCCUAAUCUUACCAUGCAUAGGUAGAUUUAGACCACUGGGAGGGCAGAGUAUAAAUAAAUAUCUAAUGACUAAUUAGAUGAAUGGCUUCAAGGAGUGGUAGAGUUCUGUGUAAAUUAGGGCAGAGGGGAAGGGAAAGGUUUAAGUUGGUUGGAGUUUAGUGAAAGUCUCCUGCUAGUUGAGAUUUAAACUGAUGCUGACAUAAAAUGUGUAUGGGUGGAAAUGAAGGUUGAUGCCACUCCCCAGUGUAGAGAUAGCAGCAUGUGUGUGGGCUCAGCCAGGUUAUGCACACAUCAAUGCCAGGAUGUCUGGUAGAGCCGUUAACUAAGAUUGAAGACUAGAGGAGGAGUGAUUUUUGUAUUUGGAGGGACAGAAGUAUUGUCCUGAGAAAUAUUUCGUUUCAGGUGUAUGCAAGUUUGCAAGGAGAGGUGAUAGCGCAGAAAUGGAAUCCAGACAAGAAGUUGGUCAUUUUCAACAGAGAUAGCAGUAGAAGAAAUUAGAGCAAUUGAAUAAAUGGAUGAGAGGAGAACAGGAGCUCCCAUUAGGUCUUGAGACGCUCCAAUAGGACCGAGGAAUUCUUUGUAGAGGACUGGGAGAAGGACUGAUAACAGAGUAGAUUGAAAACAGGAGAAUGAGGUGUCAGUUUAGGCUAGAAAGAAGUUCCGAAAAGGAGGUCAAGUUUCAACUUUUGUGUUCAAGGAAGAAUCUAUCUGCGGGGAGAUACUUGGUGAUAUUAACAAUAUGUAUGCAUAAGAUAAUCAUUGAGGGUCUUUGCAGGUCAAGGGAGAGGAGGACAUGAGGGCUGAUGGCUGUACUUCCAGCUUGAUGGUGAAGGGAGGAUAGAUGGGCAGGGACUUGAGAAAAAAUAGGUUCAGAGGAGAUUUUUGCUUCAAGUUAAAAGAGACAUAAUGAGCUUAACUGAUGAGGGGACUGAUGGACAGGUUUCUGGUAAAGGAGAACAAGAAAACAGGAGAGAAAGGAGUUCAGCUGGAGACGCUAGACUUAGCUAGUGGCAGCAUGACCCAUCAAUUUGAAGGGAGAAAAGGAGUAACCCAGGGGUAGGAAUGUAGGAAUAUCUGUAGCUAUCAUGAUGGUGAACCGAGUUACUUUGUCACAUCAUGUAAUCCGUCUGUGUUAUGACCUGAAUUGUGUGCCCCCAAAAGUCAAAUAUUGAAGCCGUCCUCAGACCUCAGAGUGUGAUGGUAUUUGGAGAUUAGGCCUUAAACGCGGUGAUUAAGUUAAAAUGAGGUUCUUAGGGUGGGCCCUAAUCCAGUUUGGCUGGUGUCUUUGCAAGAAGAGGAGAUUACGGCACAGACAUGUCCAGUGGGAAGACCAUGUGAAGACGCAGGGAGAAGACAGCCAUCCAGAAGCUAAGAAGGGCGGCCUCGGAAGGGACCAACCCUGGCUUCACUUUGAUUUCGGACUUAGAGCCUCCAGAAUUGUGAGAAAAUAAAUUUGUUUAAGCCACCCAGUCUGUGAUACUUUGUUACAACAGCCUUAGCAAACUAAUACAAUAUGUGUAGUAGGAAAUAACCUCAUCUUUUGAAAUGUGAAGAUUGUGUAGAUUCAAAAGUCAUGGUGACAAUUUGAAAUAUUUAUGGAGCAAAUAUUUGAAAUAUUUAUGUUUUACUUUGCAAAACACAGUAGAGUUGCCAGAUAUAUUUGAAAACAACUAGGAGUAGUGAUUCUGUGUUUAGACGGGUCAACUUAGUAGUAGUGUGUGUCAGAUGCAGUCAUGGAAAAGGCAGGUACAAGGAGUCACCUGCUAUUGGGAUUUUGAUGGGGAAAUCCGGUUAAUAGUCCAAGGGACAUAGAAAAUGUUCUGGUCUUGGUAAGUGCCUGUUGAGUAAGUGUGGAUUAAACUGAGCAGAAAAAAUGUAGAGAGAUGUAGCUUGAUGUUUGAGAAGUGAAAUAAGUACAUUGGCAGUCCCCAUGUGGCAGAGGACCUGAGUUUGGAGUAUCAGAAGGCAGAGGGGUUGUAGUUACAGGUUGGGGCUCCUGAUUAAUGUCAGAGGUGAUAUUCCAGGUAAAACCUGGAUGUGAUGUGUAUUGCAUAAGAAAUAUGAGCAUAGGAGCAUGGCAGAACAAAAUUAAAAUGAUAGACGUGUCAUUUCUAGCUGUGACUUUGUUAUAUGAUUAAAUUUUUGGACCUCUUCUGUGUAUGUCAUUUGUUAUAUUGGUAAACAAACUAAAAUCGCCACGUUUAUUUUAAGGCCUAAAUGAGUGAAUAUACGUAAAUAUCCAAGCACUAAGUCAUGUUUGAUACAAACUUUUUUUUUUUUUCUUUUUCUGGACCUCAGGUACAAAUGGGUGAGUUAAUCCUACUUUUGUUUAUGAUGCAUUAUCAUCAUUUUCCCAUGAAAUAUAUCUAGUUAUUGGUAUUUUAGCGGAGCAUUUACACUUUAUAAAUGCUUUCUCUGUGUGUCUCUUGCACACAUUUGUGUGCAUACAUAUAUAUAUAUAUGCAUGUACACAUACGUGUGUUUGUGUAUAAUGAAAUGCAGGGAUAUUGCAGCUAAUGAAGAUUAAUGCAGAACAGGAUUUCAAGGAUUUCAGCUACCCCUUUACUAAGAUAAUCAGAUGGAGUUAACUAGAUUUCCUCGUAAACCCCUGCCAUCCUUGACACAGAGGGUUGAGACAGUCCAUGACCGUAACACUGUGACUCAUGUGCUCCUGCUACCUUCUGGAGCAGCGGAUGUUAAGGACUAGGCUGGCAGGGCGGGUGCCACGGUUCCUGCAAGUGGAAUAAGUCCUUAAGUUAACGCCCUCAUAAAACAGACUUCUAGUUGAUUGACUUCCAGGUCCAUGGGGGUCAGAUCCAACAGAGUUAAGGGAGCACUGCCAUGAAUGCUGGGGAACCCCUGCCAGUGUGUAAGUCAGAAUAAUGAAAUCUGAGAAUUCCCAGUGUUUACCUGCAGGUGGGAACCAAAAUCUACGUGCAGCGUGGGUCAGGGGUCACUGGUUUGGAGUCAGGGAGAGAACUGAAUAACUGGGUACCGCAGGCUAAUUAACAUAUGAAGCUCAAUACUUUCCAUGUUCUUGUCUGUAAGUUAUUUGUAUUUCUACUUUUUAAAUUAACAACCACAGUUAAAGUCUUCUUACUUUUGACCCUGGGAGAGGAGUAGAGGCCUCUGUGUGUUUCCAGUAGAGUGUGCACUGCAUGUUUGUUGGUUAGACUGGGCGUCACACCCAGAUGAAGGUUUGGGGCUUCAUGAACGUGUGCACAGGACUGGAG